AUAUAGGUCAAGCUACAAAGGGCGCAUGGUGAAUGCCUUGGCAUCAGGAGCCGAUGAAGGACGUGAUAAGCUGCGAUAAGCUUCGGGUAGGCGCACAUAGCCUGAGAUCCGAAGAUCUCCGAAUGAGGAAACUCACAUGGGAAACCCCAUGUAUCAUUAAGUGAAUACAUAGCUUAAUGAAGGUAACCCAGGGAACUGAAACAUCUAAGUACCUGGAGGAAGAGAAAGAAAAAUCGAUUUUCUUAGUAGCGGCGAGCGAAAGGGAAAGAGCCCAAACCGGAAACUUGUUUCCGGGGUUGUGGACAUAACAUGAAAGUGGAGGCUAUUGUAACUGAAGAGAACUGGAAAGUUCCACCGUAGAAGGUAAUAGUCCUGUAAGUGAAACGAGAAGACCACGAGUUAUGAUCCAGAGUACCACGAGACACGUGAAACCUUGUGGGAAGCAGGGAGGACCACCUCCCAAGGCUAAAUACUACCUGAUGACCGAUAGUGAAGCAGUACCGUGAGGGAAAGGUGAAAAGAACCCCGGGAGGGGAGUGAAAUAGAACCUGAAACCGUGUGCCUACAACCGCUCAGAGCCCCUUAUGAGGGUGAUGAGGUGCUUUUUGUAGAACGAGCCAACGAGUUACGGUAUGUAGCAAGGUUAAGUACUUAAGGUACGGAGCCGAAGGGAAACCGAGUCUGAAUAGGGCGACUAGUUGCAUGCCGUAGACCCGAAACCGGGUGACCUAUCCAUGGCCAGGUUGAAGCGAGGGUAAAACCUCGUGGAGGACCGAACCACGUUGCUGUUGAAAAAGCAUGGGAUGAGCUGUGGAUAGCGGAGAAAUUCCAAUCGAACCCGGAGAUAGCUGGUUCUCUCCGAAAUAGCUUUAGGGCUAGCGUCGAGUAUGAGUAGUGGAGGUAGAGCACUGAAUGGGCUAGGGGGCAUAGCGCUUACCGAACCUUAUCAAACUCCGAAUGCCACAUACUUUGAGCUCGGCAGUCAGACUACGAAUGAUAAGAUCCGUGGUCAAAAGGGAAACAGCCCAGAUCGUCAGCUAAGGUCCCAAAGUGUAAGUUAAGUGGGAAAGGAUGUGAGAUUUCUAAGACAACUAGGAUGUUGGCUUAGAAGCAGCCAUUCAUUAAAAGAGUGCGUAAUAGCUCACUAGUCGAGAGAUCUUGCGCCGAAAAUGUAACGGGGCUAAACUUACCACCGAAGCUACGGGCUUGAACUUAGUUCAAGCGGUAGGAGAGCGUCGUAACCGGGCUGAAGUCGUACCGUAAGGAGCGGUGGACUGGUUACGAGUGAGAAUGUUGGCAUCAGUAGCGAGAUGUGGGUGAGAAUCCCACAGGCCGAAAACCUAAGGUUUCCUCAGGAAGGUUCGUCCGCUGAGGGUUAGUCGGGACCUAAGCCGAGGCCGAAAGGCGUAGGUGAUGGACAACUGGUUGAUAUUCCAGUACCACUACCAUCGUUAUUAUCGAUGGCGUGACGCAGGAGGAUAGUGUGUGCUAGCUAUUGGAUGCUAGUCUAAGCGUUUAGGCAGUGAGAGUAGGCAAAUCCGCUCUCAUAAUGCUGAGGCGUGAUGGGGAAGGUUCCACGGAACCGAAGUACAUGAUUCCACGCUGCCAAGAAAAGCGUCUAGAGAGAGAAGUAGUGCCCGUACCGCAAACCGACACAGGUAGGUGAGGAGAGAAUCCUAAGGCCGGCGGAAGAAUUACAGUUAAGGAACUCGGCAAAUUGACCCCGUAAGUUCGCGAGAAGGGGUGCCUACGAGAGUAGGCCGCAGAGAAUAGGCCCAAGCAACUGUUUAGCAAAAACACAGGUCUCUGCUAAAGCGUAAGCUGAUGUAUAGGGGCUGACGCCUGCCCGGUGCUGGAAGGUUAAGGGGAACACUUAGCGCAAGCGAAGGUGUGAACUUAAGCCCCAGUAAACGGCGGCCGUAACUAUAACGGUCCUAAGGUAGCGAAAUUCCUUGUCAGGUAAGUUCUGACCCGCACGAAUGGCGUAAUGACUUGGGCACUGUCUCAACUGUAAAUCCGGCGAAGUUGUAGUGCGAGUGAAGAUGCUCGCUACCCGCGAUUGGACGGAAAGACCCCGUAGAGCUUUACUGUAGCUUAGCAUUGAGUUUUGGUAUUGUCUGUACAGGAUAGGUGGGAGACUAGGAAACCAGGGCGUCAGCCUUGGUGGAGUCAACCUUGGGAUACCACCCUGACAGUACUGAAAUUCUAACUGGCGGCCAUGAAUCUGGUCACAGGACAUUGUUAGGUGGGCAGUUUGACUGGGGCGGUCGCCUCCUAAAAAGUAACGGAGGCGCCCAAAGGUUCCCUCAGAACGGUCGGAAAUCGUUCGAAGAGUGCAAAGGCAGAAGGGAGCCUGACUGCGACACCCACAAGUGGAGCAGGGACGAAAGUCGGGCUUAGUGAUCCGGUGGUACCUCGUGGGAGGGCCAUCGCUCAACGGAUAAAAGCUACCUCGGGGAUAACAGGCUGAUCUCCCCCAAGAGUCCACAUCGACGGGGAGGUUUGGCACCUCGAUGUCGGCUCGUCGCAUCCUGGGGCUGAAGUAGGUCCCAAGGGUUGGGCUGUUCGCCCAUUAAAGCGGCACGCGAGCUGGGUUCAGAACGUCGUGAGACAGUUCGGUCCCUAUCCGUCGCGGGCGUAGGAAAUUUGAGAGGAGCUGUCCUUAGUACGAGAGGACCGGGAUGGACUGACCUCUGGUGUACCAGUUGUUCCGCCAGGAGCACAGCUGGGUAGCUAAGUCGGGAAUGGAUAAACGCUGAAAGCAUCUAAGCGUGAAGCCAACCUCAAGAUGAGAUUUCCCAUAGCGUAAGCUAGUAAGAUCCCUUGAAGAACACAAGGUUGAUAGGUCGGGGGUGUAAGCAUGGUAACAUGUUCAGCUGACCGAUACUAAUAGAUCGAGGGCUUGACCAAAU
RNAcentral lists this ribosomal RNA (2912 nucleotides) under Francisella tularensis subsp. holarctica. RNAcentral describes it as "23S ribosomal RNA". It matches the Rfam family "Bacterial large subunit ribosomal RNA". Lineage: Bacteria; Pseudomonadati; Pseudomonadota; Gammaproteobacteria; Thiotrichales; Francisellaceae. The record is from RNAcentral.